Molecule: ribosomal RNA, 253 nt
Filed under: uncultured bacterium
Lineage: Bacteria
Description: partial 16S ribosomal RNA
Rfam family: Bacterial small subunit ribosomal RNA
Source: RNAcentral
UACGUAGGGGGCGAGCGUUGUCCGGAUUUAUUGGGCGUAAAGAGCUCGUAGGUGGCUGUUCAAGUCGGGUGUGAAAUCCCAAGGCUCAACCUUGGGUCUGCAUUCGAUACUGGGUGGCUUGAGUCUGGUAGGGGGACCUGGAAUUCCUGGUGUAACGGUGGAAUGCGCAGAUAUCAGGAGGAACACCGGUGGCGAAGGCGGGGUCCUGGGCCUUGCCUGACGCUGAGGCGCGAAAGCUAGGGGAGCGAACAGG